Molecule: long non-coding RNA, 654 nt
Filed under: Lathyrus oleraceus (garden pea)
Lineage: Eukaryota; Viridiplantae; Streptophyta; Magnoliopsida; Fabales; Fabaceae
Description: Pisum sativum (pea) long non-coding RNA (PSAT_LNC031199)
Source: RNAcentral
ACUCAAAUCAUGCGGUUAUCACAACAAGUACCAAAUCAUGUGAAAAAUGAGAAUCAAGAGGUCUUUCAAAGGUUGUAAUGUGGCUUAGGUUACAAGAAAGGAUAUGAUUAAGACAAUUCAACCAAAUUGCCUAUCCUAAGGGAGCAUUCCCAAAGAUUCACUCUACACAAUUUCCCUUUCUUUGAUCCCUAUCUUUUUCUUUUUCUUUUUCUUUUCAAAUCCACACAACCAUGAGCAUUUCCUUUGCUUUUCUUUUUCUAUUUUUUUCUAUGCUCUAUGGUUUCAAGGGUGAUUUCUUUUUCUUGUUUCUUUUCAUAUUUUUACCCUUACAUAGAAACUCACUUUUCCAAGUUUCUAAUCAACUUUUCACUUUACUCUCCCCAACUUUAGAUUCCAAAACCACAUUUAUUCAAUAAUGCUCCCUACUUAGACAUAAGCAAAAGGCAAAAUUUUGCAAACAGCUCGGUUUGAGGUUUCGACUGAUACGAAAGAAAUUAGGAUUCAUUUAUUCCACAAUUUUCAAUUGAUUUUACAAUGAUCAAUCAAAUGAAUCCUAAAAUAAGCUCAAAGGGGUUUAACUAGGGAUUAUUCCUCACAAGGUUAGUUGAUUCAAACUUUUUGGUCAAGUGGUUUUUCUCACAAACAAUGCCUCUA